UGAGGUCAGUGAUGAGUAUAAGAUUUUGCCUACAUUGGAUGAUUAUCUCUUUCUAGAUAUGAUCUGUACAAAUCAUCUGAGGCCUCC
Lupinus angustifolius (narrow-leaved blue lupine) is the source of this 87-nucleotide non-coding RNA. NCBI's taxonomy places the organism in Eukaryota, Viridiplantae, Streptophyta, Magnoliopsida, Fabales, Fabaceae. The record is from Rfam.